Molecule: ribosomal RNA, 253 nt
Filed under: uncultured bacterium
Lineage: Bacteria
Description: partial 16S ribosomal RNA
Rfam family: Bacterial small subunit ribosomal RNA
Source: RNAcentral
UACGAAGGGGGCUAGCGUUGCUCGGAUUGACUGGGCGUAAAGGGCGCGUAGGCGGAUGGUACAGUCAGACGUGAAAUUCCUGGGCUCAACCUGGGGGCUGCGUUUGAUACGUGCUGUCUGGAGUUCGGAAGAGGGUCGUGGAAUUCCCAGUGUAGAGGUGAAAUUCGUAGAUAUUGGGAAGAACACCGGUGGCGAAGGCGGCGACCUGGUCCGAUACUGACGCUGAGGCGCGAAAGCGUGGGGAGCAAACAGG